This 65-nucleotide transfer RNA is filed under the name Eutelia adulatricoides. RNAcentral describes it as "tRNA-Pro". Lineage: Eukaryota; Metazoa; Arthropoda; Insecta; Lepidoptera; Euteliidae. The record is from RNAcentral.
CAAAGAAUAGUUUAAUAAAAAUAAUAAUUUUGGAGAUUAUAGAUAGAGAGUUUCUUUUUCUUUGA